This 699-nucleotide small RNA is filed under the name Pan troglodytes (chimpanzee). Its description in RNAcentral is "processed transcript". The record is from RNAcentral. Lineage: Eukaryota; Metazoa; Chordata; Mammalia; Primates; Hominidae.
GAGGAAGUACUGUUGGAGGUUGGAGCAAGGAGAGCAGCUGUUAACAGGAAGGAACUUCUUAGAAGAGCCAGUCUCGAAGAUAUGGUGUAGACAAAGCCUGAAGCUGCACUCUUACUACAUUUGCAAGUUGAUGUCCAGUGUUCGGUGUUCUAUUUGUGGCUACACAAAUUGAGAAAUGUGAAAAACAUAUGAGUUUUCGCCAUGUUACUCAGGUUGCUCUUGAACUCCUGGGCUCAAGCGAUUCACCUGCCUUGUCCUCCUAAAGCCCUGGGAUUACAGAGCAUAUAUCAUUACAGACUAUAUGGGCAUCCGAAAUGAAAGUUUCAUGAAAUUAGCUGCAGUAGGGACCUGGAUGGGGGACUUUGUCACAGCUUGGAUGGUCACUGAUAUGAUGCUUCAGGACAAACCCUAUCCUGACUGGGGAAAAUCAGCAAGAGCUUUCUGGAAGAAAGGAAAUGUUAGGAUCACUUUAUUCUGGACAGUUCUUUUUACUCUGACGUCUGUGGUUGUACUUGUGAUUACAACGGACUGGAUCAGCUGGGACAAGCUGAAUCGGGGAUUUUUGCCCAGUGAUGAAGUUUCCAGAGCAUUCCUUGCUUCUUUUAUCUUGGUCUUUGACCUUCUUAUUGUGAUGCAGGACUGGGAAUUCCCACAUUUCAUGGGAGAUGUUGAUGUAAAUCUCCCUGGUUUGCACACCCC